RNAcentral lists this ribosomal RNA (522 nucleotides) under Borreliella valaisiana. RNAcentral's name for it is "bacterial SSU rRNA". It matches the Rfam family "Bacterial small subunit ribosomal RNA", at positions 29 to 544 of the family's 1533-position model. Lineage: Bacteria; Pseudomonadati; Spirochaetota; Spirochaetia; Spirochaetales; Borreliaceae. The record is from RNAcentral.
AACUAACGCUGGCAGUGCGUCUUAAGCAUGCAAGUCAAACGGGAUGUAGCAAUACAUCUAGUGGCGAACGGGUGAGUAACGCGUGGAUGAUCUACCUAUGAGAUGGGGAUAACUACUAGAAAUAGUAGCUAAUACCGAAUAAGGUCAAUUAAUUUGUUAAUUGAUGAAAGGAAGCCUUUAAAGCUUCGCUUGUAGAUGAGUCUGCGUCUUAUUAGUUAGUUGGUGGGGUAAAUGCCUACCAAGGCGAUGAUAAGUAACCGGCCUGAGAGGGUGAACGGUCACACUGGAACUGAGAUACGGUCCAGACUCCUACGGGAGGCAGCAGCUAAGAAUCUUCCGCAAUGGGCGAAAGCCUGACGGAGCGACACUGCGUGAAUGAAGAAGGUCGAAAGAUUGUAAAAUUCUUUUAUAAAUGAGGAAUAAGCUUUGUAGGAAAUGACAAAGUGAUGACGUUAAUUUAUGAAUAAGCCCCGGCUAAUUACGUGCCAGCAGCCGCGGUAAUACGUAAGGGGCGAGCGUUGU